Molecule: ribosomal RNA, 271 nt
Filed under: uncultured Prevotella sp.
Lineage: Bacteria; Pseudomonadati; Bacteroidota; Bacteroidia; Bacteroidales; Prevotellaceae
Description: partial 16S ribosomal RNA
Rfam family: Bacterial small subunit ribosomal RNA
Source: RNAcentral
CGGACGUCGACCGUCGCACGGGUGAGUAACGCGUAUCCAACCUUCCCGUUACUGCGGGAUAACCUGCCGAAAGGCAGACUAAUACCGCAUGUUCUUCGAUGACGGCAUCAGAUUCGAAGCAAAGAUCCGUCGGUAACGGAGGGGGAUGCGUCUGAUUAGCUAGUUGGCGGGGCGACGGCCCACCAAGGCGACGAUCAGUAGGGGUUCUGAGAGGAAGGUCCCCCACAUUGGAACUGAGACACGGUCCAAACUCCUACGGGAGGCAGCAGCC